This 2850-nucleotide ribosomal RNA is filed under the name Cohnella rhizoplanae. RNAcentral describes it as "Cohnella sp. JJ-181 23S ribosomal RNA". It matches the Rfam family "Bacterial large subunit ribosomal RNA". Lineage: Bacteria; Bacillati; Bacillota; Bacilli; Caryophanales; Paenibacillaceae. The record is from RNAcentral.
NAGGCACACCCAGGGAACUGAAACAUCUAAGUACCUGGAGGAGAAGAAAACAAAAGUGAUUCCGUCAGUAGCGGCGAGCGAAAGCGGAUUAGCCCAAACCUGAGAGCUUGCUCUCAGGGGUUGUGGGACGUCUCACAUGGAGUAAAAAAGGAGCAGACUAGGCGAAGUGGUCUGGAAAGGCCCGGCAUAGAAGGUAAAAGCCCUGUAGCCGAAAGCCUGCUCCCUCCGAGACGGAUCCCGAGUACCGCGGGACACGUGAAACCCCGUGGGAAUCCGGCAGGACCAUCUGCCAAGGCUAAAUACUUCCUGGCGACCGAUAGUGAAGCAGUACCGUGAGGGAAAGGUGAAAAGCACCGCGGGAGCGGAGUGAAAUAGAACCUGAAACCGUGCGCUUACAAGAAGUCAGAGCCCGAUCUAGGGGUGAUGGCGUGCCUUUUGUAGAAUGAACCGGCGAGUUACGUUUACGUGCGAGGUUAAGCAGGAAAUGUGGAGCCGCAGCGAAAGCGAGUCUGAAUAGGGCGCUUUAGUACGUAGUCGUAGACCCGAAACCGGGUGAUCUACCCCUGUGCAGGGUGAAGGUGAGGUAACACUUACUGGAGGCCCGAACUCGUGAGCGUUGAAAAGCUCUGGGAUGACGUGGGGGUAGGGGAGAAAUUCCAAUCGAACUCGGAGAUAGCUGGUUCUCCCCGAAAUAGCUUUAGGGCUAGCCUCGAGAUUUAGCAUCAUGGAGGUAGAGCACUGAUUGGGUGCGGGGCCCGCCAAGGGUUACCAAGUCCAGUCAAACUCCGAAUGCCAUGGAUGUAUGCUCGGGAGUCAGACGGCGAGUGCUAAGAUCCGUCGUCAAGAGGGAAAGAGCCCAGAUCAUCAGCUAAGGUCCCCAAGUGUGUGUUAAGUGGGAAAGGAUGUGGAGUUGCGAAGACAACCAGGAUGUUGGCUUAGAAGCAGCCACCAUUUAAAGAGUGCGUAAUAGCUCACUGGUCGAGUGACUCUGCGCCGAAAAUGUAACGGGGCUAAACACACCACCGAAGCUAUGGCAUGACACUUAGGUGUCUUGGGUAGGGGAGCGUUGAAUGCGGGUUGAAGUCAGACCGUGAGGACUGGUGGACUGCAUUCAAGUGAGAAUGCCGGUAUGAGUAACGAAAAGACAGGUGAGAAUCCUGUCCGCCGAAAGCCUAAGGGUUCCUGAGGAAGGUUCGUCCGCUCAGGGUAAGUCGGGACCUAAGGCGAGGCCGAAAGGCGUAGUCGAAGGACAACAGGUUGAAAUUCCUGUACCACCGUAAUCCGUUAUGAGCNNNNNNNNNNNNNNNNNNNNNNNNNNNNNNNNNNNNNNNNNNNNNNNNNNNNNNNNNNNNNNNNNNNNNNNNNNNNNNNNNNNNNNNNNNNNNNNNNNNNAUGGGGGGACGCAGGAGGGCAAGAACGCGAGCUGAUGGAAUAGCUCGUCCAAGCAGUAAGGGGUGCAUGUAGGCAAAUCCGCAUGCUUUAACCUUGAGCUGUGAUGGGGAGGGAAAAUUACAGUACCGAAGGUUCCGUGCUCACGCUGCCGAGAAAAGCCUCUAGCCAGGAAAAGGUGCCCGUACCGCAAACCGACACAGGUAGGCGAGAAGAGAAUUCUAAGGCGCGCGGAAGAACUCUCGUUAAGGAACUCGGCAAAAUGACCCCGUAACUUCGGGAGAAGGGGUGCCUCGGUAGGGUGAAUAGCCCGAGGGGGCCGCAGUGAAUAGGCCCAAGCGACUGUUUAGCAAAAACACAGGUCUGUGCGAAGCCGUAAGGCGAAGUAUACGGGCUGACGCCUGCCCGGUGCUGGAAGGUUAAGGGGAGCGGUUAGGGGCAACCCGAAGCUGUGAACCGAAGCCCCAGUAAACGGCGGCCGUAACUAUAACGGUCCUAAGGUAGCGAAAUUCCUUGUCAGGUAAAUUCUGACCCGCACGAAUGGCGUAACGACUUGGGCGCUGUCUCAACGAGAGAUCCGGUGAAAUUUUAGUACCUGUGAAGAUGCAGGUUACCCGCGACGUGACGGAAAGACCCCAUGGAGCUUUACUGUAGCUUGAUAUUGAACUUGGGUACGGUCUGUACAGGAUAGGUGGGAGCCUUGGAAGCAGGAGCGCAAGCUUCUGUGGAGGCGCCGUUGGGAUACCACCCUGAUCGUAUCUAGGUUCUAACCUGUCACCGUGAAUCCGGUGAAGGGACCGUGUCAGGCGGACAGUUUGACUGGGGCGGUCGCCUCCUAAAGCGUAACGGAGGCGCCCCAAGGUUCCCUCAGAAUGGUUGGAAAUCAUUCGAAGAGUGCAAAGGCAUAAGGGAGCUUGACUGCGAGACCUACAAGUCGAGCAGGGACGAAAGUCGGGCUUAGUGAUCCGGUGGUACCGAAUGGAAGGGCCAUCGCUCAACGGAUAAAAGCUACCCUGGGGAUAACAGGCUUAUCUCCCCCAAGAGUCCACAUCGACGGGGAGGUUUGGCACCUCGAUGUCGGCUCAUCGCAUCCUGGGGCUGAAGUAGGUCCCAAGGGUUGGGCUGUUCGCCCAUUAAAGCGGUACGCGAGCUGGGUUCAGAACGUCGUGAGACAGUUCGGUCCCUAUCUGUCGCGGGCGUAGGAAAUUUGAGAGGGGCUGUCCUUAGUACGAGAGGACCGGGAUGGACGCACCGCUGGUGUACCAGUUGUUCCGCCAGGAGCAUCGCUGGGUAGCCAAGUGCGGGAGGGAUAAGCGCUGAAAGCAUCUAAGCGCGAAGCCCGCCUCAAGAUGAGAUUUCCCAGUAUGUAAGACCCCUUGGAGAACACGAGGUUGAUAGGCUCGGGGUGUAAGCUCAGUAAUGGGUGUAGCUGACGAGUACUAAUCGGUCGAGGGCUUAUCC